RNAcentral lists this ribosomal RNA (253 nucleotides) under uncultured bacterium. Its description in RNAcentral is "partial 16S ribosomal RNA". It matches the Rfam family "Bacterial small subunit ribosomal RNA", at positions 524 to 776 of the family's 1533-position model. The record is from RNAcentral.
UACAGAGGGGGCAAGCGUUGUUCGGAAUUACUGGGCGUAAAGGGCGCGUAGGCGGCCCGCUAAGUCGAACGUGAAAUCCCCGAGCUCAACUCGGGAACUGCGUCCGAUACUGGCGGGCUUGAAUCCGGGAGAGGGAUGCGGAAUUCCAGGUGUAGCGGUGAAAUGCGUAGAUAUCGGGAGGAAUACCAGUGGCGAAGGCGGCUUACUGGCUCAUUCCUGACGCUGAGGAGCGAAAGCGUGGGGAGCGAACAGG